AACUGUGGAUUUCCUAUGCGGAAGGAACGGAACGGAGGGAAAACUGGACGACAUAAAACGAUUACUUCUCGUUUUAGUAAUGACUAAAGUAAUCAAUCAAGGUUCAGCCUUGAUCUGCCCAACUAAAGAAUCGGGCGUGCGAAAGUUCCGAUUAGCCGAUGAAUCCAUCGACUGAAUCAGGCCAUACGACUGUAACGAAACGGUAUAUUUAAAUUUAUUUGCUCCGGAAAACGAAAUUGACGACAACUGGAUCGUUCCGAUAGAAAAAUCAAUUUGUAUAGCAGAUUCGGAUUCCAGGGCUUAAAGGACAUCGGUAUAGGCCCAGAAGCGGCAACAGUAGCAGAGACCGUCUUCUGAUCCACCUUUAAUAUACGCCCAAGAACCACGUCUGGAUUUGCGAGCGAAGUGACGAGAAACCUGAGAACUCUGACAUGAUCUAUAAUCCAGUUGGUGAGUGUGGAAUAUUACCCGAUGGUUCGAGGUAGCAAUAAUAAUUGGCGAUAUUUUCACUCCUCUCAUAUCUCUCUUUUACCCUUUCGAUUCGCAAUUUCUUCCAUCUCUUUUUAUCAUCGCGCCUUCGGUGUUAAAAUCUGUAUAGUUAAGUAUGUAGUGGUCGUAGUCAACUGCUUGUAUAUUAUAUACUUUCAAAAAUCAACAACGCUUGU
Athalia rosae (coleseed sawfly) is the source of this 665-nucleotide long non-coding RNA. RefSeq lists it as uncharacterized. NCBI's taxonomy places the organism in Eukaryota, Metazoa, Arthropoda, Insecta, Hymenoptera, Athaliidae. The transcript has 3 exons. The record is from RefSeq and is a predicted model, not a curated record.